Prosopis cineraria is the source of this 1361-nucleotide long non-coding RNA. RefSeq lists it as uncharacterized. The transcript has 4 exons. The record is from RefSeq and is a predicted model, not a curated record. NCBI's taxonomy places the organism in Eukaryota, Viridiplantae, Streptophyta, Magnoliopsida, Fabales, Fabaceae.
UUAGUGGUAAUUGAGUCAAUCUUUUAUAAGUCAAAUUUAGGUUCGACCUCCCUUAAAGACAAGAGACGAAAAUUUUAUUUUUACGAAUAAUUUAGCCAAAUUACCAUUUUGCCCUUAGUGUUCAAAAAAAUAAUAGUAAAAUAAAUAGAUGGAGAUCAGACACGCACGCACUGGUUUUUUUCUUUCUUUCUUCUCUUGUCAUUGUCAUAAGCUUCGAAGACUCCAGGUCAAAGGAGUGGAGAGAGAGCUUUGAACCAUACCCAUGUCUCCCCCGAUCUCCCUCCCUUGCUGUUCUUUUUCGUCUGUCAUCGGUGACCUUGAGCAUGCCACAGAUUUCUUUUUCCUCUUCCUCUGUUCUGCGUCGCUGAUCGCUUAACGUUGCGGGUCAUUGUUCAGCUCGUCCGUCUGCUAUUCAUUCACAUCGUCGGCCAUUCUUCUUCCUCUGUUAAUAUUGUGCUAUGGGUUCUUAAAUUUCGGACUGCGGGAGUAGUCGAUUCCGGCAAUAGGCUGAUUUACUGGUCUUCUUCUUCCCCUGUUCAGCACCAAACUCCUUCUCUCCCUUCAUCGUUGUUGCUGCUCAUGGCUGAGGAGAGAGAGACUUCAACUUUUCUGGAAAUUUCGACCAUCCCAACUCUUCACUCCACCGUCCAGCUCAUCAUCGGUGAUGUGGGUCACCAGUGAUAUUCUCCUUCCCUUCUGUUCUUCGCUCCUUCUCCUCUGUUCGUUUCUCUGUCGUGGGUGUUAUCGGAACCUUCCUUUCGUCUGAGAGCAAGAGAGAUUCAUUGCUCAGAAGCUUCAAGUCAUUCGAUCCAGCACCUCUGUCCUUUUGCUAUUCAACAUGCUAUUGAUGAGAAUAGGAGUUCCGCUUGCUGUUGCUGAGAUGUCCGCCCAGAACCACAGCGUUGUGGUGCAAACCGUAAUAGAGUAGUUAAAGGACAAUUGAGAGGUUUAUGAGGCACAAGCUAUUAUUUUGGGCGUUUAACAGAACACUGAUUGCUAACGGCAGUUCCGUUAGCCCUUGGCAUGCCAUGGCACACCUAGCUAGCAGGGUGUUUAUAGGAGGUACUAGCCCCGUGCGAUGGCCAACGCACGUGGAAUGGAGGGAUGGUUAUUCGUAAGCAUUGUACUCACGUUUGUUUUCGUGGCAUAAGCCGCGUUUGGUUACUUACCCUCGUGGAUUGUGUGUCCACGUUUGUUUCGUGGCUUCGGCCGCGAUUGGUUAUUUGCCCUCGUGGAUUGUGUGUUCACGUUUGUUUUCGUGGCAUAAGCCGCGUUUGGUUAUUUACCUUCGUGGACUGUGUGUCCACGUUUGUUAAUUGUUCUGAUAAGUCCCUAUAAUUAUGAAUCCAAUUAUUUGAUGA